This 504-nucleotide ribosomal RNA is filed under the name uncultured bacterium. Its description in RNAcentral is "partial 16S ribosomal RNA". It matches the Rfam family "Bacterial small subunit ribosomal RNA", at positions 30 to 523 of the family's 1533-position model. The record is from RNAcentral.
AUUGAACGCUGGCGGCAGGCCUAACACAUGCAAGUCGAACGGUAGCACAGAGAGCUUGCUCUCGGGUGACGAGUGGCGGACGGGUGAGUAAUGUCUGGGAAACUGCCCGAUGGAGGGGGAUAACUACUGGAAACGGUAGCUAAUACCGCAUAACGUCGCAAGCCCAAAGUGGGGGACCUUCGGGCCUCACACCAUCGGAUGUGCCCAGAUGGGAUUAGCCAGUAGGUGGGGUAAUGGCUCACCUAGGCGACGAUACCUAGCUGGUCUGAGAGGAUGACCAGCCACACUGGAACUGAGACACGGUCCAGACUCCUACGGGAGGCAGCAGUGGGGAAUAUUGCACAAUGGGCGCAAGCCUGAUGCAGCCAUGCCGCGUGUAUGAAGAAGGCCUUCGGGUUGUAAAGUACUUUCAGCGGGGAGGAAGGCGGUGAAGUUAAUAACUUCACCGAUUGACGUUACCCGCAGAAGAAGCACCGGCUAACUCCGUGCCAGCCGCCGCGGUAA